AGGGAUUCGAUUUUUUUUAUAUAUUAUAAACAUGAAUUAUAGUAUAAUAGCCUUUCGGAAACCUAAGAAAGGCAAAGAAGUUGAAAAAGAAAAAGGAAGACAAAGGUUUGUAAUUUCAAGGUCAGCAUCCCAUGUGAUAUCUACUUUCCAAUACAUCUUUACACGCAAAAACUUAAUAUUUUUUGAUCCCACGUUUCAGCCAUCUCUACAUUUCUUUUAUAAUUUUUCUCCAAAAUUGGUAUAUGCUUCCUUCCUAAGCAUAACAUAACUAAUUGUUAACAUUUCAAUUUUACAGAUAAACCUAAUUUUGGAUAUGAUAGAAAAAAAUAUUAUUUAAAUUGUUAUACCCCUACUUCGAUAUGAACACGUGGCAUCACAAGAAGCAUUUUGGAAGCAUCUUCAGAUGGUCUUUUUUAACUUGCAUCCUCUGGCUACUAUGGACGACCUUUUGAGGCUCUGACUUAUACCACCCGACUGGUCACUACGUGAUUAGCCAUUAACCCGCUAAAUAACAGACCCUCAAUCCAGACACCCAAUUUUUAGUAGGUAUGCAUUUAUUCCCCAAGAGAGAACUACUAAGACUAGCAACUUUGUAUUAUCUAAAAAAAGAGAAUGUCAAAAUAAUACUAUACUUGAUGACAACUAAGGUAUAACAAUCUUAUCACUUGACUGAUCACACAUUCUCCAUAUCCUGAGUUUGUCAACGACAUGCCACUACCGAACAUGGGGUUCUUUUCCCCCUAUAUACACCCCAACACACAAUGACAAGAAACUCUUCUCUCCCUUUUUGGCAACUUUUAAGCAUUCAGCCCAGCACGUCCCGAAUACUUACCUUAAGCUUCUUUUUUCCUUUUUCUCUCACUCCAGCUCUUUGCCUAUCUAGAUGAACCGACUUUCUUGUUACCAUGAUCAUCUCCUCUCUUGUUAAGCACUUACAUCAAUAUAAAUAAUGAUGACACACAUUUAAUACAAGCAUGUUUAGUAAUAUAUGUUUUUUUUAUCUCUACAUAAAAGAAACAAAAUUGAUACAAGUAAAGAGAUUGCACAUUGAAAAAACAAUGUAACAUGAAGCUUAGGAAUUUAACGUAAAAAGAGACAAAUUCGAAGAAGUUCAAACAUAGAAAAUAAAGGUAAAAUGAGUGGACAUUGUGCUCCAUGUGUAUCCAACCGAAAGCUAGGCUAACAGUUAAGCAGCGCUUUCAUGUCCAGUAGGAUAUAUGGAUGAUGCAUCCGACAAAAACUAAUGCUGGCUCCUAACAUACCAAACACAUGUAGUUAUGGUUAAAGAUGUGACCAUUUUUCAUUGGUAGGCGGAAAACCAAAGAAAAAGAACCAACACCAAAUUUAACAACCACUUUCGAGGUGGGUCAUCGUGGAUACAUACGUGGCAAUAGAACCAAGGUUUUCAUAGCUGACAAAGCAUGUGAUUUGGCGGUACUAGAUUCCCCCAACACUUGUCUGACAGAUCACCAC
This 1473-nucleotide long non-coding RNA is filed under the name Gossypium barbadense (sea-island cotton). RNAcentral's name for it is "long non-coding RNA (GBAR_LNC023007)". Lineage: Eukaryota; Viridiplantae; Streptophyta; Magnoliopsida; Malvales; Malvaceae. The record is from RNAcentral.